UUGAGAGGUACUAUCAGUUAUGCCUGAGUGGGGAUAGAUAGAGCAAGCUGGAUGAAGUUGAAUGAAAGUUAAUCCACACAGAAAAACAGCAUGAGGAAGACUGAGCCCAGACUGAGCCCAGACUGGCCUUUGCACCACAUUGUAGGCCGUGUGCAUAAGAAGUAACGUCAUCAUCUGAUGUGAGAAGAAGAGAAGGCUAUUAAAAGAUUUGAGGAAAAAGGAGAAGCUAUGUGCAAUACUGUGAUGUAUAAUAAGCCCCCUAGUACAUAGCUGUAUAUUCUAGUUGUGAGUGUCUCUGGUUGUGCUAUGUGGGAUGCUGCAUCAGC
RNAcentral lists this long non-coding RNA (326 nucleotides) under Equus asinus (donkey). RNAcentral's name for it is "lncRNA (ENSEASG00005032241.1)". Lineage: Eukaryota; Metazoa; Chordata; Mammalia; Perissodactyla; Equidae. The record is from RNAcentral.